AGUUGAAGUCAAAGGAUUUAGUAACUAAUAGACGCGAGUAGAAUUACAAAACAUGCUUACCGCCCCGGUCAGGAACUCCGGUUGAAUCUGCCGCUUGUCGGGAUGGAUUUGUUAUGGGGGAUGUGACGUAGCUCGGCGCAGAUUGGACGUCCACCAUGUCCAUCAUUGCAUCAGCACCUGUUGCCCCCUGGCCCCACCCCGUGAACCAAUCCGGAACCCAUCGCUGUCCCAUCGAGUUCUUAACCUCAUCAAUAACACGUUCAGUGAUUAUACCUUCGGCUCAAAGCUUCUUCAAUCAACAUUUAUCAUAUAAAACCAUCAUAACAUGUCAUCCACCAUCAUGUGUCAUAACAACACAUUACUGUUAUCACCAGGUGUUUUUCAACCUUUUUUGCGUCAAGGCACACUUAAGACACAGAAAAAAUCUCACGGCACACCAACAACCGGAAGUGAUAUGAAAAUCAAUCCCAAACAUAGUUUCAGCGUGAGCAUAAUGUACUCUAAGAAAUCAGGGAAACGCGUGUUCUAUUUGUUGUGUUUUAUUAAACGUAACAUCAUCCUAAUGACAAGAUGGCACAGGCUUUAUGCCCACGUAUCUCUUAAGCCUAGUUUAUGCUUCUGCGUUGUCCCUUGCGUCGCUUUUCACACCUCCUUGCGUCCUUGCGUCCUUCGGGACAUUUUUCUGCGACGCAAGCCUCCCGCAGCGCACCGGGCUGCGAUCGGUCCGCUAACUGCGUCCUUUACGGAGUCUCGCGUUUCCGCUUUCACAGCCCGAUAGCGCCAUUAUUAAAACGAAGAAUGUUUACGAGAGAAACGGAUCCGAUUUAAGAACUUUUGUCGGAAGAAAUGCGUAAAUAUGAGCGCUUCUACAAGCCGUCAUUGGCGGGUUGUAGAAGCGGGUUUGGUUUCACGGAGCGAGAUCGCCGCAAACGCCGGUUUGCCGGUCGAGAGGUGCGCCAAGUUGUGGAGGAAAAUACGGGACAAAUGUGUCCGCGAUGAAAAGCAGCGGCGAUGCACGGGACAAUAAAAUAUAUGAUAAAUAAACAAACAAAUAAAUAAAUAGACGUGACUCUCUAGGUCGUCUUCAACAAAAACACGUCACUCCGCCUGUUGUUCUGGGGGUGAAUUACUCUGCAACACACGCAGAACCACGAAUUGAAAUGAGUGCGUCGACGCAACGACAGAGACGCAGACGCAGAAGCAUGCGCCAGCCUUAAAUCUCACUUUUUUAAAUGGUCGCCUCAGCAAAUCUGCCCAUUAAUUACGCUGCGUACCGCUACCCGCAGGCAGAGGGGAGUAUUGAGCCUUCAUACCACCAACAGCGCGACGACACACACACACACGCACACACAAGUUGGCUCUUUUUUUGUCACCAAUGAAGUGACAGUAUGUAAAAAAUGAUUUUUUUCACGGCACACUUGACAGCCUCUCGCGGCACACUGGUUGAAAAACACUGCAAUAGACAACAAGACAGCAGUGCACAAGUAAUAAAAUAAAGUAAAAUGAAAUGCUAAUGCAAUGGGUUAGUAGAAUAAGGCUAUGGGUUAGUGUAAAACAAGGGAAUAAAGUUAAAGUUAAAAAUUUAAAAUAUUUAAAAAGUUAAAAAAAAAUAUUAAGCAUAAAGUGCACUAUAGCGAACAAGUAACAAAGUGACGAGUGACUACAAAGUGAUAAAUUGCAGUUAAAGUGGCGUGUGCAGUGUGAAGGGGAGUGACUGGUGGAAUGUUAUAGUCAGUCAGUGGGAGACCGGGCUCUGUUGAUGAGCCCGACUGCCGACGGGAAGAAACUGUUGGUGUGGCGGGAGGUCUUAGUCCUGAUGGACCUCAGCCUCCUCCCCGAUGGAAGGGGCACAAACAGUUUAUGUCCGGGGUGAGAGGGGUCGGCCACGAUCUUUUUAGCUCGCUUCAGAGACCUGGAAGCGAACAAUUUCUUCAGCUGCCUCAGGAAGAACAACCUCUGCUGAGCCUUCUUGGUGAUGGAGCUGAUGUUCAGCUCCCACUUGAGGUCCUGGGUGAUGAUGGAGCCCAGGAAACGGAAGGAAUCCACAAUAGUGACGGGGGAGUCACACAGGGUGAUGGGGGAGGGUGGGGCUCUGUUCCGCCGGAAAUCCACAACCAUCUCCACUAUUAUCCACAUUAUCACUAACAUAACAUCAUAUUUCUCAUAUCACAUAAUAUUAUGUUGUCAAUAUCAUAAACAUAAUACUAAUAUUGUAAUUUUUACUGCCAGGCGUGCUUUUACUGCUUAAAAUCCUAACAUAUUCAAAGUUGAGACUGAAAAAUUCAAUUGUGUCCCACAGUUUUUAUUACAAAAGGAAGAAUAUCUUGUCAAUUGAUCUUACAAACUAAACUUUAAAUGGGAUGCAAUGUAAAAAAUAUAAAAGAUCAUAAAAUGUUUUUUGAAGAUAUGCUAGAUCAAAUAAUGUUAGGUUGUAAAAAGAAAUAGGUUGUAAACUGUCAAAGACAAUCAAGUCAAAAUAUAUUUGGUCCAAAAUGUUUUGAAACAAACGUCCAAAUAUCUUAAGGCGAAAAAAAGUCAAUGAUUCUAAAGAAGUUAAAAUAUGGUAGGUCGUAAAAUGGUUUAGAAAGAUGUGUUCUUUUACACGCUGCAGCGAUUAGUGACAGCGGGCCUUGUGUGUUGUGUCACGCCAGUGUAUUGACAGAUUUACAGCGUUCAGCCUGCAGACCGGACCCCGCAGACCGGACCCUGCAGACCACAGCGUGAGCAGAAUCUGCUUGUGGUCUGAAGCGACAUCUGUUUGCGGUCUGCAGUGUCUGCCAACUCUCACGGUUUCACCGUGUGACACACACACUCACGCCACACACACCCACGCCACACAUCCAAUUUCUCACGCUAAACGUCACAGACUAGCUCUCCUCAUGUUUUGUUAUUUUUGUCAUGUGUUGACACAUUGUAUUCCUUAAAAAGUACUUUAUUUGUUGCACUUUUUUGUUUGAUGGAACAUGUGGUGUGAGGCUUUGAAUACAGGUCUAUUAAUUAGGCUAUAUUGUGGUAAAUAGACAGUCAUAGAGGCACAAUGAUACGUGCUACGGACUGCCGCUGACCUUUUGGCCCCGUGCGAGGCUCAUCGCUGUGGUUGGAUGGUUGAAUAAAAAGUGGUGCUCGAUACAGGCGUGUUUUUAAAGCAGUAUCUGUAAAAUGCAGCUGUUUAUCAAAACAGUCUCCGACCUUGAAACGCAGCAAAAGUUAUUUUCUUUUUCUCAUAAUUGUGUUAAGAUUGUUCAACAGUUGCUUGAACAGGUGCUUGACUUUGUGCAAGUGUGAGGCAAACGUUAAAACUCCCCUGUGCACAUGCAUACGCGCAAAACAAGCAGAAAUGUACAGACGCAUGUCAUUAAAUCGCUUCUCUGCAGCGACCUGCCAGACCAUGUGACCAGUAGCAUCCUUCAGCACAAUCCAAAAAUAAGAGUUGUGUGUGGGUGUCAUGUGACCUUUCUAUGUGAAUAAAACCAAAGCUUAUAGUCGUACAUACUUCAUGCUUGCGUGCAGAGACCGGCGGCGUUAUUUUACUUCCAUUCACCCGAUUGUGUUCGUUUUGAUUGACGUGUUUUAGUUCAGCCACAGGGAAUGCAUGUUAAGGCUUCACUUGGAAUUGGGAGGCUCCGGACCUCCAGCUUCGAUGCCUUUGUGAUAUUCACAAUAAAUUUUCUUUUCUGUUUGCACCUGACAGUUUUAAAAACAUCUCCCGAGAGCCUCACAAAGUCUUGUUA
Molecule: long non-coding RNA, 3731 nt
Organism: Gasterosteus aculeatus aculeatus (three-spined stickleback)
Lineage: Eukaryota; Metazoa; Chordata; Actinopteri; Perciformes; Gasterosteidae
Source: Ensembl